GCCUGGGUGGCUCAGUCGGUUAAGCUUCUGACUUCAGCUCAGAUCAUGAUCUCACAGUUCGUGAGUUCGAGCCCCACAUCAGGCU
RNAcentral lists this transfer RNA (85 nucleotides) under Felis catus (domestic cat). It matches the Rfam family "tRNA". From Rfam's summary of the family: Transfer RNA (tRNA) molecules are approximately 80 nucleotides in length. Their secondary structure includes four short double-helical elements and three loops (D, anti-codon, and T loops). Lineage: Eukaryota; Metazoa; Chordata; Mammalia; Carnivora; Felidae. RNAcentral also lists the same sequence under 2 other names. The record is from Rfam by way of RNAcentral.